This 72-nucleotide transfer RNA is filed under the name Ignavibacteriales bacterium. It matches the Rfam family "tRNA". From Rfam's summary of the family: Transfer RNA (tRNA) molecules are approximately 80 nucleotides in length. The record is from Rfam by way of RNAcentral. Lineage: Bacteria; Pseudomonadati; Ignavibacteriota; Ignavibacteria; Ignavibacteriales.
GCCCUCGUAGUUCAAUGGAUAGAACUGAAGUUUCCUAAACUUCCAAUACAAGUUCGAUUCUUGUCGAGGGUA